Molecule: ribosomal RNA, 490 nt
Filed under: uncultured bacterium
Lineage: Bacteria
Description: partial 16S ribosomal RNA
Rfam family: Bacterial small subunit ribosomal RNA
Source: RNAcentral
AUUGAACGCUGGCGGCAGGCCUAACACAUGCAAGUCGAACGGUAACAGGAAGCAGCUUGCUGCUUUGCUGACGAGUGGCGGACGGGUGAGUAAUGUCUGGGAAACUGCCUGAUGGAGGGGGAUAACUACUGGAAACGGUAGCUAAUACCGCAUAACGUCGCAAGACCAAAGAGGGGGACCUUCGGGCCUCUUGCCAUCGGAUGUGCCCAGAUGGGAUUAGCUAGUAGGUGGGGUAACGGCUCACCUAGGCGACGAUCCCUAGCUGGUCUGAGAGGAUGACCAGCCACACUGGAACUGGGACACGGUCCAGACUCCUACGGGAGGCAGCAGUGGGGAAUAUUGCACAAUGGGCGCAAGCCUGAUGCAGCCAUGCCGCGUGUAUGAAGAAGGCCUUCGGGUUGUAAAGUACUUUCAGCGGGGAGGAAGGGAGUAAAGUUAAUACCUUUGCUCAUUGACGUUACCCGCAGAAGAAGCACCGGCUAACUCCGUG